Non-coding RNA from Nicotiana tabacum (common tobacco), 360 nucleotides. The record is from RefSeq and is a predicted model, not a curated record. Lineage: Eukaryota; Viridiplantae; Streptophyta; Magnoliopsida; Solanales; Solanaceae.
AAAGGCUCUUGAAGCCUUAACCAAAAAACUUCCAUCUUGAAAAGCAGAAAGCAGAGGCCACGAAAAAAAAAUAGAACACUAAGUUCUGUUCGCUCACGAAACCGAGCACGCAGGCAACGAAAAAUACUAGGGUUCUUCACAACUCACUUAUUCUUGAACUCAGAAUCGAUUGUUUGACUGGUGUCAAUUGGACUGGGGUCUACGUAUUGGCUCAAGGAGUUUUGAGGAACUGGAUUUGCAGGCGAGCAGGUUACGAGUUAGGAUUUCCUUCCCUUCCAGUGAUAUUGGUGAGCUCCGCUUUUGUUCGUGGAGUAUUCUUAGAGUCAUUUUCAUUUAGCUAUUUCUUUGUUUAUUUAGAGA